Vicia faba (fava bean) is the source of this 219-nucleotide non-coding RNA. NCBI's taxonomy places the organism in Eukaryota, Viridiplantae, Streptophyta, Magnoliopsida, Fabales, Fabaceae. The record is from the annotation of a GenBank genome assembly.
AUGUUCGACCACUUAAAUACUAUCAUUGUCGAAGAUCUUAUUCAGAACAUGAUCAACGAUGCAUUCGGAGUUGAUAGGAAUCAUGCAAAUGAAAUACCAUAUGUGUCAAAUUUGGAGAUUGACCAAGAAGAUUAUGUGAUGCCAAGUGCAACUCAGGAAAGAAAUGAAGCCAAGGAGUACUAUGAAUUGGCUAGAGAAGGAGAACAAUCUUUAUAUUAA